RNAcentral lists this ribosomal RNA (945 nucleotides) under Triticum aestivum (bread wheat). RNAcentral describes it as "partial small subunit ribosomal RNA". The record is from RNAcentral. Lineage: Eukaryota; Viridiplantae; Streptophyta; Magnoliopsida; Poales; Poaceae.
AUGCCCGCGGGUCAUCGUCCGUGGGCGCUUCCUCGAGCCGCCGCCGGUCCCCUCCGCCGAUCCGCAACGCGGAUCCGUGCCACCACGCCCGCGGGUCAUCGUCCGCGGGCGCUUCCUCGAGCCGCCGCUGGUCCCCUCCGUCGAGCCGCAGUGCGGAUCUGUGCCGCCACGCCCACGGGUCAUUGCCCGUGGGCGCUUCCUCCAGCCGCCGCCGGUCCCCUCCGUCGAUCCGCACCGCGGAUCCGUGCCGCCACGCCGGCGGGUCAUCGUCCGCGGGCGCUUCCUCGAGCUGCCGCCGCUCAGCCGAUCCGAGUAGUACUAUGUUUCUCUUGUUUUUGCAUACUGAAAAUGGGUGGGAACACCAGAGGAGGUGGACAUUAUGAAGCAUUGAAGAGCUACAAUCUGGGCAAAACGUUACGUGCAGGCACAUUUGGAAAAGUGAUGAUUGCAGACCAUAAGCUUACAGGACACAAAGUUGCUAUAAAGAUUCUGAACCGUCGUAAAAUGAAAACUACGGAAAUGGAAGAGAAAGCAAAUAGAGAAAUCAAGAUAUUGAGGUUGUUCAUUGACUUCAUUCACCCUCAUAUCAUCCGGAUUUAUGAGGUCAUUGAGACACCGACGGAUAUUUUUGUUGUGAUGGAAUAUUGCCAGAAUGGUGACCUAGUGGACUACAUUGUUGAGAAAAGGCGGUUACAGGAAGAUGAGGCCCGUCGAAUCUUCCAGCAGGUUAUCUCAGGUGAAUUGUACGCUGGACCUGAGGUUGAUGUUUGGAGCUGUGGGGUGAUACUUUAUGCUCUUCUUUGUGGUGCUGUUCCAUUCGAUGAUGACAACAUUCCCAAACUGUUCAAUAAGAUAAAGGAGAUUGACGAAGAUACACUUCAAGAUGUUGCCAAUCUGGGAUAUGACAAAGAUCAUGUGUGUGAAUCGUUGUGCAAUAGGCUAUAA